This 254-nucleotide ribosomal RNA is filed under the name uncultured prokaryote. Its description in RNAcentral is "partial 16S ribosomal RNA". It matches the Rfam family "Bacterial small subunit ribosomal RNA", at positions 524 to 776 of the family's 1533-position model. The record is from RNAcentral.
UACGAAGGGAGCUAGCGUUGUUCGGAAUCACUGGGCGUAAAGCGCACGUAGGCGGGCUUGUCAGUCAGGGGUGAAAUCCCGGGGCUCAACCUCGGAACUGCCCUUGAUACAGCAAGCCUUAGAGUCCGGAAGAGGUGGGUGGAAUUCCUAGUGUAGAGGUGAAAUUCGUAGAUAUUAGGAAGAACACCGGUGGCGAAGGCGGCCCACUGGUCCGGCACUGACGCUGAGGUGCGAAAGCGUGGGGAGCAAACAGG